GAUGAACGCUGGCGGCGUGCCUAAUACAUGCAAGUCGAGCGAAUGGAUUAAGAGCUUGCUCUUAUGAAGUUAGCGGCGGACGGGUGAGUAACACGUGGGUAACCUGCCCAUAAGACUGGGAUAACUCCGGGAAACCGGAGCUAAUACCGGAUAAUAUUUUGAACUGCAUGGUUCGAAAUUGAAAGGCGGCUUCGGCUGUCACUUAUGGAUGGACCCGCGUCGCAUUAGCUAGUUGGUGAGGUAACGGCUUACCAAGGCAACGAUGCGUAGCCGACCUGAGAGGUUGAUCGGCCACACUGGGACUGAGACACGGCCCAGACUCCUACGGGAGGCAGCAGUAGGGAAUCGUCCGCAAUGGACGAAAGUCUGACGGAGCAACGCCGCGUGAGUGAUGAAGGCUUUCGGGUCGUAAAACUCUGUUGUUAGGGAAGAACAAGUGCUAGUUGAAUAAGCUGGCACCUUGACGGUACCUAACCAGAAAGCCACGGCUAACUACGUGCCAGCCGCCGCGGUAA
This 515-nucleotide ribosomal RNA is filed under the name uncultured bacterium. Its description in RNAcentral is "partial 16S ribosomal RNA". It matches the Rfam family "Bacterial small subunit ribosomal RNA", at positions 28 to 523 of the family's 1533-position model. The record is from RNAcentral.